CUUGGAAGGAGAAGCCUUCCAAUGAGGAAAGAAAAGAGAAGAAAAAGAAUGAAGGAAAGAAAGAGAGAGAAAGAAGUCUCCCAUGGAGGAAAAAGUGAAGAAGAAGAAGUAAGGGAUCAAGGAGAAGAUGAUGAUGGGAGCUCUCUUGAAAUGAAGAUUGGAAGAUUCAAGAAUGAGGUUGUGGAAGCAUGGAAAAAUCAAUACAAGGUGGAUUGGCAUGUGGAGGCAUGGAAAUGAUGAUCCAAGCGUAUUGUAUGGCUUAGGGGAGCCUAACUUGUUAUGUUUAAUGUAUGAGAUGUAAUUUUAUUUAUUUGAUAAUGGCUUGUUGAAGCCCAAGAGUAUGUGUGUAUUUUAUAUUGGAAUGUAUGUUACCAUUUAGAAAGUGAGGCAGGCAUUAGCUUAUGGCAUGUGAAGCCUAAGUUGUGGUGUAAGUCUCAUUAUUGGGUGUGUUGUGAGAAGCAACUAAGAUCCAAGUAAAAAGGAUUUUUGUUGGAAAGGUAGUGGGUGUUUGAUGUAUGUUGUGGAAGCAUC
Long non-coding RNA from Diospyros lotus (date-plum), 531 nucleotides. RefSeq lists it as uncharacterized. The record is from RefSeq and is a predicted model, not a curated record. NCBI's taxonomy places the organism in Eukaryota, Viridiplantae, Streptophyta, Magnoliopsida, Ericales, Ebenaceae. The transcript is spliced from 3 exons.